CGGGACGGGUGGGUAAUGUCUGGGAAACUAGCCUGAUGGAGGGGGAUAACUACUGGAAACGGUAGCUAAUACCGCAUAACGUCGCAAGACCAAAGAGGGGGACCUUCGGGCCUCUUGCCAUCGGAUGUGCCCAGAUGGGAUUAGCUAGUAGGUGGGGUAACGGCUCACCUAGGCGACGAUCCCUAGCUGGUCUGAGAGGAUGACCAGCCACACUGGAACUGAGACACGGUCCAG
Molecule: ribosomal RNA, 234 nt
Filed under: uncultured bacterium
Lineage: Bacteria
Description: partial 16S ribosomal RNA
Rfam family: Bacterial small subunit ribosomal RNA
Source: RNAcentral